UGAGGAAUAUUGGUCAAUGGAGGCAACUCUGAACCAGCCAUGCCGCGUGCAGGAUGACGGUCCUAUGGAUUGUAAACUGCUUUUGUACAGGAAGAAACCUCGCUACGAGUAGCGAUUUGACGGUACUGUAAGAAUAAGGAUCGGCUAACUCCGUGCCAGCAGCCGCGGUAAUACGGAGGAUCCGAGCGUUAUCCGGAAUUAUUGGGUUUAAAGGGUUCGUAGGCGGUUAGAUAAGUCAGUGGUGAAAUUUCUUAGCUUAACUAAGACCCGGCCAUUGAUACUGUUUGACUUGAAUAGUAUGGAAGUAACUAGAAUAUGUAGUGUGGCGGUGAAAUGCUUAGAUAUUACAUGGAAUGCCAAUUGCGAAGGCAGGUUACUACGUACUUAUUGACGCUGAUGAACGAAAGCGUGGGGAGCGAACAG
This 423-nucleotide ribosomal RNA is filed under the name uncultured bacterium. RNAcentral describes it as "bacterial SSU rRNA". It matches the Rfam family "Bacterial small subunit ribosomal RNA", at positions 355 to 775 of the family's 1533-position model. The record is from RNAcentral.